UAUCCCUGGGACAACAUAUAGGGAUGAUAUCCCUGGGACGAUGAUAUCCCUGGGACAACAUACUGUAUAGGUAUGAUAUCCCUGGGACAACAUAUAGGGAUGAUAUCCCUGGGACGAUGAUAUCCCUGGGACAACAUACUGUAUAGGUAUGAUAUCCCUGGGACAACAUAUAGGGAUGAUAUCCCUGGGACAACAUACUGUAUAGGUGUGAUAUCCCUGGGACAACAUACUUUAUAGGUAUGAUAUCCCUGGGACAACAUAUAGGGAUGAUAUCCCUGGGACAACAUACUGUAUAGGUGUGAUAUCCCUGGGACAACAUACUGUAUAGGUAUGAUAUCCCUGGGACAACAUAUAGGGAUGAUAUCCCUGGGACGAUGAUAUCCCUGGGACAACAUACUGUAUAGGUAUGAUAUCCCUGGGACAACAUAUAGGGAUGAUAUCCCUGGGACGAUGAUAUCCCUGGGACAACAUACUGUAUAGGUAUGAUAUCCCUGGGACAACAUAUAGGUAUGAUAUCCCUGGGACAACAUACUGUAUAGGUGUGAUAUCCCUGGGACAACAUAUAGGGAUGAUAUCCCUGGGACGAUGAUAUCCCUGGGACAACAUACUGUAUAGGUAUGAUAUCCCUGGGACAACAUAUAGGGAUGAUAUCCCUGGGACGAUGAUAUCCCUGGGACAACAUACUGUAUAGGUAUGAUAUCACUGGGACAACAUACUGUAUAGGAAUGAUAUCACUGGGACAACAUACUGUAUAGGUAUGAUAUCACUGGGACAACAUACUGUAUAGGUAUGAUAUCACUGGGACAACAUAUAGGGAUGAUAUCACUGGAACAACAUACUGUAUAGGUAUGAUAUCACUGGGACAACAUAUAGGGAUGAUAUCACUGGAACAACAUACUGUGUAGGUAUGAUAUCACUGGGACAACAUACUGUGUAGGUAUGAUAUCACUGGAACAACAUACUGUGUAGGUAUGAUAUCACUGGGACAACAUACUGUGUAGGUAUGAUAUCACUGGGACAACAUACUGUAUAGGUAUGAUAUCACUGGGACAACAUACUGUAUAGGUAUGAUAUCACUGGGACAACAUACUGUAUAGGUAUGAUAUCACUGGGACAACAUAUAGGGAUGAUAUCACUGGGACAACAUACUGUAUAGGUAUGAUAUCACUGGGACAACAUACUGUAUAGGUAUGAUAUCACUGGGACAACAUACU
This is a long non-coding RNA of Oncorhynchus tshawytscha (Chinook salmon), 1214 nucleotides long. RefSeq lists it as uncharacterized. NCBI's taxonomy places the organism in Eukaryota, Metazoa, Chordata, Actinopteri, Salmoniformes, Salmonidae. The transcript is spliced from 3 exons. The record is from RefSeq and is a predicted model, not a curated record.